RNAcentral lists this ribosomal RNA (440 nucleotides) under uncultured bacterium. Its description in RNAcentral is "partial 16S ribosomal RNA". It matches the Rfam family "Bacterial small subunit ribosomal RNA", at positions 338 to 795 of the family's 1533-position model. The record is from RNAcentral.
CCUACGGGAGGCUGCAGUGGGGAAUAUUGCACAAUGGGGGAAACCCUGAUGCAGCGACGCCGCGUGAGUGAAGAAGUAAUUCGUUAUUGAAAGCUCUAUCAGCAGGGAAGAAAAUGACGGUACCUGAGUCAUAAUCCCCGGCUAACUACGUGCCAGCAGCCGCGGUAAUACGUAGGGGGCAAGCGUUAUCCGGAUUUACUGGGUGUAAAGGGAGCGUAUACGGCAGUGCAAGUCUGUAGUGAAAGGCGGGGGCUCAACCACCGGACUGCUAUGGAAACUGUAAGGCUGGAGUGCAGGAGAGGUAAGUGGAAUUCCUAGUGUAGCGGUGAAAUGCGUAGAUAUUAGGAGGAACACCAGUGGCGAAGGCGGCUUACUGAACUGUCACUGACGUUGAGGCUCGAAAGCGUGGGGAGCAAACAGGAUUAGAUACCCCUGUAGUC